RNAcentral lists this ribosomal RNA (451 nucleotides) under Nematodirus filicollis. Its description in RNAcentral is "eukaryotic LSU rRNA". The stretch from base 1 to 150 matches the Rfam family "5.8S ribosomal RNA". Lineage: Eukaryota; Metazoa; Nematoda; Chromadorea; Rhabditida; Molineidae. The record is from RNAcentral.
UAGCUUCAGCGAUGGAUCGGUUGAUUCGCGUAUCGAUGAAAAACGCAGCUAGCUGCGUUAUUUACCACGAAUUGCAGACGCUUAGAGUGGUGAAAUUUUGAACGCAUAGCGCCGUUGGGUUUUCCCUUCGGCACGUCUGGUUCAGGGUUGUAAACGAUAUAAUACAGCAUGGAUUGUUGUGCUGUGUGUCGAAUGGUACUUGCUGUUACAUCGUAACAGUCAAUCCCAUUCAAGUAAAGAAUGUUUGCAACGUGGCUUUGUGAUGGUGUCAAAGCUCCUGAAUGAUGUGAACGCGAUUGUUACCGUAUCAAAAUGUGCUCGAUGAGUAUGAGAUGAGUUUGAUCGGGGACCUGCUCUUAACAAUCGAUUGUUCAGACAUCAUUUGCAUUGCAACCUGAGCUCAGGCGUGACUACCCGCUGAACUUAAGCAUAUCAUUUAGCGGAGGAAAAG